UUGCAGGGAGGUGCUAGAAACCAGAUGAAUUGGACGUUAGCUACUAUCUGCUGCUGCCCUGAAACAGUGUGAAUGGAAAAUUUGCAGUGUGGACACUACUGUAUAGGGAAUUGUUGAUGGGAGCUUAAGCAACCGUUGGUUUGAUUGGAGGCAAUGGAGAAUCUUGCAAUUCCCAGAGAGCAUUGUACUGCCUUGUGCUUUGAGAAACAUGGCUUAAGGCUGAACUGCCAAUGUAAACCCUCAUAGCAGUUUGUUUGAGUAUGGCGCCUAGAUCUCUGAAUCACUGCCACCGCAUCCCCCCUACUGCUUGAAUGUAUAUGAAUUUCUGCAAUAAGAGCAAAGUUGGAUUUAAAUGGAUGAAAAGAGUACAAACUGGCAUUUUCAUGUGAUAUGGAUGAUGGAAAAGGACUUGCGCACACAAGAAUGGUUGAUGAAAAUCUCGGAAUAUGCAGAGAUGGCAAAAUUGAUGGCACUGAUGAAAGACACAAGUUGAGAAUCUUUUAAAGAAGACUGGAAACCCUUUCUAGUUUAUAUAAAGUUAUUUCCCAUAUGCGAAGACCACAGUGGGGUUUGUGGUGUAAGAAAACUGCAGAAUAUAUGAAGAAACAUGUUAGAGAGAGGAUGAAUUUAGAUAAGAGGGAACCUUAAAACACAGUUGUAUGUGUUUUGGGUUAUAAACAUUGAUGUUGGGUGUGAGCAGGAAGUCACUAGCUUUGUUGAAUUGGAAUAUAAUUGUUGAGUAACAAAUGUAACUGUAUGGAAAAAAAGAAUAAAAUAUUGUUAUAAAAAAAGAAAGAAAGAAA
Molecule: long non-coding RNA, 803 nt
Organism: Podarcis raffonei (Aeolian wall lizard)
Lineage: Eukaryota; Metazoa; Chordata; Lepidosauria; Squamata; Lacertidae
Exons: 2
Source: RefSeq, a predicted model, not a curated record